This 253-nucleotide ribosomal RNA is filed under the name uncultured bacterium. RNAcentral describes it as "partial 16S ribosomal RNA". It matches the Rfam family "Bacterial small subunit ribosomal RNA", at positions 524 to 776 of the family's 1533-position model. The record is from RNAcentral.
AACGUAGGUGGCGAGCGUUAUCCGGAUUUACUGGGCGUAAAGCGUGUUCAGGCGGUUUGGAAAGUCGGGCAUGAAAUCUCUUGGCUCAACCAGGAGAGGCUGUCCGAUACUUCCAGACUUGAGGGCAACAGAGGGCGGUGGAAUUCCGGGUGUAGUGGUAAAAUGCGUAGAUAUCCGGAGGAACACCAGUGGCGAAGGCGGCCGCCUGGGUUGCCCCUGACGCUAAAACACGAAGGCUAGGGUAGAGAACGGG